This 1967-nucleotide ribosomal RNA is filed under the name metagenome. RNAcentral describes it as "bacterial LSU rRNA". It matches the Rfam family "Bacterial large subunit ribosomal RNA", at positions 1 to 2006 of the family's 2925-position model. The record is from RNAcentral.
UUAAGCGAAUAAGAGCGCAGGGUGGAUGCCUUGGCACUAAGAGCCGAUGAAGGACGUGAUAAGCUGCGAAAAGCUUCGGGGAGGAGCAAAUAUCCAUCGAUCCGGAGAUAUCCGAAUGGGGAAACCCGGCAGAGAAGACCUCUGUCAUCCAUACGCCAAUCCAUAACGUAUGGAAGGGAACCCGGUGAACUGAAACAUCUAAGUAGCCGGAGGAAAAGAAAGAAACAUCGAUUCUGGGAGUAGCGGCGAGCGAAACCGGAGGAGCCUAAACCAGCGUGCGUGCAUGCUGGGGUUAAGGACUGCAACAAGUGACCGGAAGGUUAACAGAAUGGUUUUGGGAAAGCCAGCCAUAGAGGGUGAAAGCCCCGUAUGUGAAAACCGGAAGGAGCGGCAGGAUCCAGAGUACUACGAGACACGUGGAACCUUGUAGGAAAUCGGGGGGACCACCCCCCAAGGCUAAAUACUCCUUAGUGACCGAUAGCGCAUAGUACUGUGAAGGAAAGGUGAAAAGGACCCCGGGAGGGGAGUGAAAGAGAACCUGAAACCCUGUGUUUACAAGCUGUGGAACAUCAUUAUUCGAUGAACCGCGUACUUUUUGUAGAACGGUCCGGCGAGUUACGCUUACUGGCAAGGUUAAGCACUGAAGGUGCGGAGCCGGAGGGAAACCAAGUCUGAAUAGGGCGAUGAGUCAGUAGGAGUAGACCCGAAACCGGGUGAUCUAUCCAUGUCCAGGUUGAAGCUGCCGUAAGAGGUAGUGGAGGACCGAACGCACAUCCGUUGAAAAGGGUGGCGAUGAGGUGUGGAUAGGGGAGAAAUUCCAAUCGAACCCGGAGAUAGCUGGUUCUCCUCGAAAUAGCUUUAGGGCUAGCCUCGUGAGAGUCAGGCGGAGGUAGAGCACUGAAUACCCGAGGGGGCGUCAAAGCUUACCAAAGGUUAUCAAACUCCGAAUGCCGCGCUGAUGCUUCACGGGAGUCAGACUACACGAGAUAAGUUGGGUGGUCAAAAGGGAAACAGCCCAGACCUGCAGCUAAGGUCCCAAAGUGCGUGUUAAGUGGAAAAGGAUGUGGGAUUUCGAAGACAACCAGGAUGUUGGCUCAGAAGCAGCCACACAUUCAAAGAGUGCGUAAUAGCUCACUGGUCGAGAGGUCCUGCGCCGAAAAUGUCCGGGGCUCAAACACGCCACCGAAGCUCAGGAAUGUAUUUAUACAUUGGUAGAGGAGCAUUGUCAGUGCACUGAAGCUGUACCGGUAAGGAGCAGUGGAGCGCUGAGAAGAGAGAAUGCCGGAAUGAGUAGCGAGAAAGAGGUGAGAAUCCUCUUGGCCGAAUAUCCAAGGAUUCCGGGGUAAAGCUGAUCUGCCCCGGGUAAGUCGGGACCUAAGGCGAGGCAGAAAUGCGUAGCCGAUGGACAGCAGGUGGAGAUUCCUGCACUGCCAUAUAUCAGAAAUGUGGGGACGCAUCAGGAAAGUGUGGGCCGGGAAAGGAAAGACCGGUGCAAGCGGAGGAGGGGACAUGCAGGCAAAUCCGCAUGUCAACCCAAGAGCGUUAUGCGGAGCGAAGAAUAGUAGCGAAGCACACGGACAGGGUGCCGAGAAAAGCCGCUAUUGUGUAUAUGGUACCCGUACCGUAAACCGACACAGGUGGAUGAGGAGAGAAUCCUAAGGCCGGCGGGAGAAGCAUUGUUAAGGAACUCGGCAAAAUGGCCCCGUAACUUAGGGAUAAGGGGUGCCACAGUGAUGUGGCCGCAGAGAAUAGGCUCAAGCAACUGUUUAGCAAAAACACAGGUCUAUGCGAAACCGAGAGGUGAGGUAUAUGGGCUGACGCCUGCCCGGUGCUGGAAGGUUAAGAGGAGAGGUCAGGAAACGAAGCCUUGAAUUGAAGCCCCAGUAAACGGCGGCCGUAACUAUAACGGUCCUAAGGUAGCGAAAUUCCUUGUCGGGUAAGUUCCGACCCGCACGAAAGGCGUAAUG